This 70-nucleotide transfer RNA is filed under the name Pteronotus sp. PV-RO-BRA. Its description in RNAcentral is "tRNA-Gly". It matches the Rfam family "tRNA". From Rfam's summary of the family: Transfer RNA (tRNA) molecules are approximately 80 nucleotides in length. The record is from RNAcentral. Lineage: Eukaryota; Metazoa; Chordata; Mammalia; Chiroptera; Mormoopidae.
AUUCUUUUAGUAUUAACUAGUACAACUGACUUCCAAUCAGUUAGCUCUGGUAUAAGCCCAGAAAAGAAUA